UACGGGAGGCAGCAGUGGGGAAUAUUGCACAAUGGGCGCAAGCCUGAUGCAGCCAUGCCGCGUGUAUGAAGAAGGCCUUCGGGUUGUAAAGUACUUUCAGUCGUGAGGAAGGUGUUAAGGUUAAUAACCUUAGCAAUUGACGUUAGCGACAGAAGAAGCACCGGCUAACUCCGUGCCAGCAGCCGCGGUAAUACGGAGGGUGCGAGCGUUAAUCGGAAUUACUGGGCGUAAAGGGCACGCAGGCGGUUAAUUAAGUUGGAUGUGAAAUCCCCGGGCUUAACCUGGGAAUGGCAUUCAAGACUGGUUAGCUAGAGUCUUGUAGAGGGGGUAGAAUUCCAUGUGUAGCGGUGAAAUGCGUAGAGAUGUGGAGGAAUACCGGUGGCGAAGGCGGCCCCUGGACAAAGACUGACGCUCAUGUGCGAAAGCGUGGGGAGCGAAACAGGGAUUAAUACC
This 453-nucleotide ribosomal RNA is filed under the name uncultured bacterium. RNAcentral describes it as "bacterial SSU rRNA". It matches the Rfam family "Bacterial small subunit ribosomal RNA", at positions 340 to 786 of the family's 1533-position model. The record is from RNAcentral.